This 466-nucleotide ribosomal RNA is filed under the name uncultured bacterium. RNAcentral describes it as "partial 16S ribosomal RNA". It matches the Rfam family "Bacterial small subunit ribosomal RNA", at positions 28 to 507 of the family's 1533-position model. The record is from RNAcentral.
GAUGAACGCUGGCGGCGUGCUUAACACAUGCAAGUCGAACGAUGAAGCCCAGCUUGCUGGGUGGAUUAGUGGCGAACGGGUGAGUAACACGUGAGUAACCUGCCCCUAAAUCUGGGAUAAGCCGGGGAAACUGGGUCUAAUAACGGAUAGGAGCGUCCACCGCACGGAGGGUGUUGGAAAGAUUUAUCGGUUUUGGAUGGACUCGCGGCCUAUCAGCUUGUUGGUGAGGUAAUGGCUCACCAAGGCGACGACGGGUAGCCGGCCUGAGAGGGUGACCGGCCACACUGGUGCUGAGACGAGGCCCAGACUCCUACGGGAGGCGGCAGUGGGGAAUAUUGCACAAUGGGCGAAAGCCUGAUGCAGCGACGCCGCGUGAUGGAUGACGGCCUUCGGGUUGUAAUCCUCUUUCAGUAGGGAAGAAGCGAAAGUGACGGUACCUGCAGAAGAAGCACCGGCUAACUACGUG